This 483-nucleotide ribosomal RNA is filed under the name uncultured bacterium. RNAcentral describes it as "partial 16S ribosomal RNA". It matches the Rfam family "Bacterial small subunit ribosomal RNA", at positions 28 to 507 of the family's 1533-position model. The record is from RNAcentral.
AUUGAACGCUGGCGGCAUGCUUUACACAUGCAAGUCGAACGGCAGCGCGGGCUUCGGCCUGGCGGCGAGUGGCGAACGGGUGAGUAAUGCAUCGGAACGUGCCCAGUAGUGGGGGAUAGCCCGGCGAAAGCCGGAUUAAUACCGCAUACGACCUCAGGGUGAAGGCGGGGGACCGAAAGGCCUCGCGCUAUUGGAGCGGCCGAUGUCGGAUUAGCUAGUUGGUGGGUAAAGGCUUACCAAGGCGACGAUCCGUAGCUGGUCUGAGAGGACGACCAGCCACACUGGGACUGAGACACGGCCCAGACUCCUACGGGAGGCAGCAGUGGGGAAGUUUGGACAAUGGGGGCAACCCUGAUCCAGCCAUGCCGCGUGCGGGAAGAAGGCCUUCGGGUUGUAAACCGCUUUUGUUCGGGAAGAAAUCCUCUGGGCUAAUACCCCGGGGGGAUGACGUUACCGGAAGAAUAAGCACCGGCUAACUACGUG